GAUGAACGCUGGCGGCGUGCCUAAUACAUGCAAGUCGAGCGAACAGACGAGGAGCUUGCUCCUCUGACGUUAGCGGCGGACGGGUGAGUAACACGUGGAUAACCUACCUAUAAGACUGGGAUAACUUCGGGAAACCGGAGCUAAUACUGGAUAAUAUAUUGAACCGCAUGGUUCAAUAGUGAAAGACGGUUUUGCUGUCACUUAUAGAUGGAUCCGCGCCGCAUUAGCUAGUUGGUAAGGUAACGGCUUACCAAGGCAACGAUGCGUAGCCGACCUGAGAGGAUGAUCGGCCACACUGGAACUGAGACACGGUCCAGACUCCUACGGGAGGCAGCAGUAGGGAAUCUUCCGCAAUGGGCGAAAGCUUGACGGAGCAACGCCGCGUGAGUGAUGAAGGUCUUCGGAUCGUAAAGCUCUGUUAUUAGGGAAGAACAAAUGUAUAAGUAACUAUGCACGUCUUGACGGUACCUAAUCAGAAAGCCACGGCUAACUACGUG
RNAcentral lists this ribosomal RNA (497 nucleotides) under uncultured bacterium. RNAcentral's name for it is "partial 16S ribosomal RNA". It matches the Rfam family "Bacterial small subunit ribosomal RNA", at positions 28 to 507 of the family's 1533-position model. The record is from RNAcentral.